UGGGGAAUAUUGGACAAUGGGCGAAAGCCUGAUCCAGCCAUGCCGCGUGUGUGAAGAAGGUCUUCGGAUUGUAAAGCACUUUAAGUUGGGAGGAAGGGCAUUAACCUAAUACGUUAGUGUUUUGACGUUACCGACAGAAUAAGCACCGGCUAACUCUGUGCCAGCAGCCGCGGUAAUACAGAGGGUGCAAGCGUUAAUCCGAAUUACUGGGCGUAAAGCGCGCGUAGGUGGUUUGUUAAGUUGGAUGUGAAAUCCCCGGGCUCAACCUGGGAACUGCAUUCAAAACUGACUGACUAGAGUAUGGUAGAGGGUGGUGGAAUUUCCUGUGUAGCGGUGAAAUGCGUAGAUAUAGGAAGGAACACCAGUGGCGAAGGCGACCACCUGGACUAAUACUGACACUGAGGUGCGAAAGCGUGGGGAGCAAACA
Molecule: ribosomal RNA, 427 nt
Filed under: uncultured bacterium
Lineage: Bacteria
Description: partial 16S ribosomal RNA
Rfam family: Bacterial small subunit ribosomal RNA
Source: RNAcentral